Passer domesticus (house sparrow) is the source of this 2743-nucleotide long non-coding RNA. RefSeq lists it as uncharacterized. The transcript is spliced from 4 exons. The record is from RefSeq and is a predicted model, not a curated record. NCBI's taxonomy places the organism in Eukaryota, Metazoa, Chordata, Aves, Passeriformes, Passeridae.
GCUUUACUGUGCAAGGGAUAAGGCACUGGAACAGGUUACCCAGAGAAUGUGUGGAUACACAUCUCUGGAAGUGUUCAAGCCCAGGUUGGAAUGGGCCCUGAGCAAAUGGGCUAGUGAAAGUGUCCCUGCCUAAGGCAGGGGGGUUGCAACUAGGUUAAGGUCCAUUUCAACCCAAACCAUUCUGUGAUUCUGUGAUUUUAUGCCCAUCACUGAAUGUUGUUCACAGGCUUUUAGAAAGUGGUUGGCCAUAUGGAAUCUCCACAUGGAAGGAACUGCAAGCACUCUUGUUCUGGAAAGCUAUAGCAGCCUGCCUGCCUGGGAGCAGAGGAGGAGUGCUGGUAGUGUGUUUAUGGAGGAUAUACAGCUGGGACUUGGUUGGUGAGCGAUUUGGAGAGAAAAGGGGUAAAGCUUUUAGCAUGGCUUCAUGCGAGGUGAAAAUGUAUUCAGCCGGCUACACCACACCCUGCCACGGGGAACUCUGUUUAUAGAGGGGUUGGAAACAAAAAUGAGCAAGAUGUAAAAAAUUACUUUUCUAGACCUCAAAGCAAGAAAUCAAAUUACAUGUGAGCAGGGAGAGAAAGAAUGCUUCAAGCAAGACAAAAGGAAAACUACUUCUUAAGAAACCAGAGGACAGCAUCUUUAGCUAACCACAAUUGCAGAACAGCCGUUGAUUUAGGUUCUGCAGAGGAGCAACGGUGGCUGCUUGCUGCUUGUCAUCCUGCAAGGAACUGAUGUCUGUUGCCCUGAGCUACAGAAAAAGGCCAACGAGAAUUCAUUUGACAUCAAAAGAAGAAGAGCCAAGCCAUAUAAGCCUUCAUCAAAGGAGUACAGCAGACGUGUAAUUGGGUGCUCAGAGUGAGCUGGGUUUCUGCUCACUCACCCCAGCACUGCUGUGGAUGGAUCUGCUCCUGCACCCAGCCCUGGAGCCCAGACCAGCAUGGGGGGCUCCUGCCUACCCCCCUUCUCACUGCCUUGCUUCUCCCCAGACAGAAGCAAUACAGCCCUUGUGGUGUCUACACUGCUAUUCAUAGCCUGACUUCCUUGAGGUUCCUUAUCAGUGGGAAUAAUUAGUGUGAACACUAAAAGCCCCUCGUUGGGAAUAAAGGGUCAACCCCACAUCCCCCAGCACAGAGCAGAAGCUCAUUAUCUUGCAUGAAUUCUCCAUAAAUUGUGGAAGUAUAUUCAGCAUAUGGCCUUGCUCUGCUUUUCUCCCCAAACAGAGAGCAAAACCCGUAUAUUUUUGUUGAUAAUUUUCUCAUUUAAAUUUGAUUGGAAGUAAGAACAUUUUUUUAAUGGACUGUGUAUUCUGCAUCUGUGUUUCAUGCGUUGAAGAGAAAAUUCAAUCAUUUCAGUGCAAUUGUUUUAUUUACACCAGUUUAACCAGAAAAUAAAUGGCUACAGUAAUCUUCUUCUGAGUAAGAAAUUAUGCAGUUCACACCAGGAGGGUAAUCAGCAAUGAAAAAAGUUCUGUUUUCCUGACAAAGCUGGGAAUUCAUGAAUGCUUCCAUGAUGGGCAAGAAACUAAGCGCUGAAAUUACCUCAAGUCACUUCACAUGACAAAAAACCAAUAUUUUAUUCAUCUUCCCCCUUGUCUUUUCACUUCAAACAAAUGCAGGCCAGAUGAUUAACUUGCAUUCAAAAUCCUGGCCUGAGAAACAGAAGAGUGUCUACACCAGCUAAGCCUGACACCAGGGAUGCAUGUCGGUUCUCUUGUAGGGUUUGAAGCAGAAAGGAGCCGAAGGACCUCAACAAGAGGGAAUCUGAACGUCAGUUGUGUCUCGUCAUUUGAUAAAUUUGCUAAAAGAAGGAUUUGAUUAGACAACACAUAAUUACAGUUUGUCUAAUUAACAGGCUCAGCAGGAAGCAAGCAUGGCCAGAGCAGGACUGAGGUGCCCAGUCCCCGCAGCUGUGGUGCCUCCUUCUCAACCCAACCCCUCAUUUCCAUGCUCAUGUCCAUGGAGCUCAUUCCCUACAACUCCCUGGCUUUCAAAUCACCUUCCAAACCAGCCUCUCACUAGAUGCUGAUAUCUAAUGCUACAAACCCUUCCCGUGACUUCAGAAUGGCAGCCAAGCAUUUCCUGGGAUGCACCAAAGGGACUCCAGGCUGGGCAGGAAGGAGAAUUCCAGAACCAGACUUCUGGGGAUAGCUCCAUGACCAUAUUUGACUUACUAUAGAGGUAUAAGAAGUAUUCUCUUCUGGGUAUUUUCUUUUUUCCUAGAAAUUAUCUACCUAUGAAGGACCUGUGCAGUGAGGCAGGGAUUAACUAAAAUAACCCACUCAGAUAUGUUUCAUAAUGUGGCCACCCAAUAUGAGACUCCUUCUGUUGAAGGCCAGGAUGCUGUCCUGCAAGAAUUAACUAAAAGUCAGAAACCUGCAGCUGUCACCAAAUUUCUCUUCACAGAGAAAAACAAGGCACAAUUCUUCCCAAGAAUAUUUCUGGGUUUCACAUUCCCUGAACCUCAGAGAAAGAAAAAACAAUUCUUGUCUCAUUUACUGCUCCUGUGUUGUUCACAAGUGGAAUGCAUUGUGGAAGACUGUUUACCUGAAGGAAAUUGGUAAUUGGAUUCUGGUGUGAGUGCUUUGAUUCACUGACCAAUUGAAUCCAUGUGUGUGUAUCAGGACUGUCGGCUGACCUUCACGAGAUGAGUGCAGUUGUGUGCAGAGUUGAGUGCUUGGCAGAUUCAGUUUAGAGGUAAUGUAACAUAGUGUAAUAUAAUAUAGAAUAAUAUAGUAUAAUAAAGU